AUGGCACUCUUGCUUGCACAAGACGGGGAGAUCUGAGGACAGGAAGCCGACCCGACAAGCCUCCAGGCAGAAAUACUGGAAGCAGGAUGGUCGAUGCUUCAAUUUUAUGCACUGGGCCAUGAUAUGCCUUACAAAGAUUAAAAUGCAUACAAAAACAUCAGGAAAGCUUAUGAUUUCACAAUAGUCCAGGAAUGAUGUAGAAUGUUUCAAAGAGGAGGAAGAAAAAAAGUAUCACCAGACAUACGACCCUUUCACAAGGGAUUCUCCCUAAGCUGAGUACAUGGCUGGAGGAAUUGAGAUG
Anolis sagrei ordinatus is the source of this 301-nucleotide long non-coding RNA. RefSeq lists it as uncharacterized. The record is from RefSeq and is a predicted model, not a curated record. Lineage: Eukaryota; Metazoa; Chordata; Lepidosauria; Squamata; Anolidae.